This 1459-nucleotide long non-coding RNA is filed under the name Macaca fascicularis (crab-eating macaque). Its description in RNAcentral is "lncRNA (ENSMFAG00000056228.1)". The record is from RNAcentral. Lineage: Eukaryota; Metazoa; Chordata; Mammalia; Primates; Cercopithecidae.
GAGCAUCACUUGGAAAUGUGUUAGAAAUGCAAAUUCCCAGGUGCUAUUGCCUUAAAUCCCUUGGGGGAGCAUAAGAAUCUCCCCUAAGUUGCAGAGCAGCAGGUGGCAGCCAGGACUGCCCCAGGACCCACACUUCUGCCCACUAGUCACUGCUGCCUGUGUCUGUGGACCCUGUCUCCCUUCCACAGGGAUCGGUGAGUGACCAUGAGCUGAGAGAGGCUGAAAGGAAUACAAAAGAACAGCACAUUCGCUACCACGGUCUUUGUAAUUAGAAAAGAUUGGGGCCCGGUGCAGUGGUUCAUGCCUAUAAUCCUAGCACUUUGGGAGACCAAGGCAGGGGGAUCACUUGAGCCCAGGAAUUCAAGACCAACCUGGGCAACAUAGCCAGACCCUAUCUCGAUAAAAAUUAAAAAAGAAAGGAUUGGAAACAACCUAAACAUCCACCAGCCCUAGGCUGGUUAAAUAAACUAUGGGGCGUUCAUGUAAUGCAACAACCUUUUAUAGAAAAAGAGUAGGAAAGCUUUUUAUAUAUACUAUGAAACAGUCUCUACAAUGGAGUUUUAAGCAGCAGAAAGCAAAGUGCAAACACUAAAUAUAGGAAACUACCAUUUGUAUGAAAAAAGAGACAAUAUGUAAACAAAUAAUUUAUUUGCACACAUAUAAUAACACACACACACACACACUGAAAGACAAUUCAAAGAACUAGCAACAUAGAGACUUCCUAGAGUUGACCGUGCAAAGGGAUGUGAGGGGGACCUCUCAUAUGUGCUUUGGUACCCUUUGCAUGAAUUGACAGAGUACAAUUCAAAAGAAGAAGAAGAAAGAAGAAGAGAGAGGAGGAACAGACCGAGGGCUUAUAAAAUGCCAGAUACUGGGCUGAAUUCUUACAUGCAUCAUCUCCUUUAAUCUCCUCAACAACGCUUUGAGGUGAUUACUAUUAUUAGCCCCAUUUUGUUGGCAUGGAAACAGAGGCACAGAGAGGCUAAGUGACUUUCCUUGAGUCACAGAGCUAGUGAGUGGCAGAGCUGGGAUUUGAACAGACAUAUGUGUGACUCCAGAGCCCAAGCUGUAAAUCAUGAUAUUACUUUAUAUGUGUGAGUUUAUUUCAUACCACUAACUUUCUUUGGAAGAAGUGAUGGUUUUCCCCUUUAUAAAUAAGAAAAUAGAGGCCCAAAGGGGUUAUGUGGCUUGGCCAAGGUCACGUUGCUGAAGCAUGACCAACCAGGAAGAGAAUCCCUAGAAAGGAUGUAUUAUUGCUGGAGUCUGUAGCUGCACGUUCUCACUAGAAGAGAACCCUUCUCAAUAGGAUAGAGGGGAAAGGCUGUUGUCCUAGAUGUGUGUAAAGGCAGGGACCAUCAUGUCAGCUGAUUGCCCAGUUUCUGGCAUAGCAUCUGGUACAUGUUGAACACCUGAAAACUUUGGAAGGAAGAGAGGGAAUGAGGAAGAGCAACGCUGACCA